RNAcentral lists this transfer RNA (72 nucleotides) under Limnospira platensis C1. RNAcentral describes it as "Arthrospira platensis C1 tRNA-Thr". It matches the Rfam family "tRNA". Rfam says of the family: Transfer RNA (tRNA) molecules are approximately 80 nucleotides in length. Their secondary structure includes four short double-helical elements and three loops (D, anti-codon, and T loops). Further hydrogen bonds mediate the characteristic L-shaped molecular structure. tRNAs have two regions of fundamental functional importance: the anti-codon, which is responsible for specific mRNA codon recognition, and the 3' end, to which the tRNAs corresponding amino acid is attached (by aminoacyl-tRNA synthetases). tRNAs cope with the degeneracy of the genetic code in two manners: having more than one tRNA (with a specific anti-codon) for a particular amino acid; and 'wobble' base-pairing, i.e. permitting non-standard base-pairing at the 3rd anti-codon position. The record is from RNAcentral. Lineage: Bacteria; Bacillati; Cyanobacteriota; Cyanophyceae; Oscillatoriales; Sirenicapillariaceae.
GCCAGUAUAGCUCAGUGGUAGAGCAUCCGCCUUGUAAGCGGACGGUCAUCGGUUCAAGUCAGAUUACUGGCU